GCCAUCUUGUUAUGUCUAUAGUAACAAGGUACAUGUGUCUGGUCUCACUCUGGCUUCCUGCACUACACGGGCUGCAGCGCGCUCACAAAGACAGUGACACUCGCAGCUGCGGCUGUGCAAGCAGCGCUGUCUGGCGUUAGCAGUGACCCCAGGCUGCAGGAAGUAGCUGUUUUUGCCAGGACACAGCGUGUCAGUAAAUGGUGCAAACUGCCACACACACAGACAAGAAGCUGCAAUGCACAAACCAGCAGAAACCAAACAGGAGGCACAGAGAAUAAAGACACAUUAUGCCAGGACGUGCAAUAGCUCCAGUAUGGCCAUUGUUGAUGGCAAGAUGCUCUCAGGCUUCAUCCCUUCAGAUCAUCCUGGUAGAAGGUCUCUCAGAAGAAUAUCAGUUUAUCUUUCUCAGCUGAGCAAGAACUUCCUGUGUCCAACAUCAAACCAGCUUCAGUGCUGAUCUACAGUUACUAUAAAAGAGCUGUAGGGACAGAAACAAACUCUGCAUCUUUCCACCGAGGAGGCAAGAGGUCAGCAUACUUGUAUCAUGAAUGGAAAAUCACAGCCUAGGUUGGCUGUAAUACACUGGAAGGAUUUGGAGCAAACACGUCUUGCUGAGUGCAGCACAGCCUGUGGUCAGACAUCUCACCCGGAAAGCAGCUGCAAGUCUGCAGCGAUUAGAGCAACAUGACAAACGUGGAAUGUGAACUGAGAAAAGAAGCCAGACAGCUUAUUUCCCUCUAACUAUAGACUGUUAGUAAAUGUUACACUUACAAUCUGACUGACUGCACGCUGUGACUGUGUAGUAGGUAACUUGGCUAGAUUCAAACCUAGUGUGUAUAUCCCCUCCAUGAACUCCCUCCAGAUCUAGGCUUGAAAUUAGAAGAAGGUUUCUAACCGUCAGAGGGGUGAAAUUUUGGAACAGCCUUCCGAGGGAAACGGUGGGGGCGAAAGACCUUUCUGGCUUCAAGAUUAGGCUUGAUAAAUUUAUGGAGGGAAUGGUUUGAAGGGAUAACGUGAUUUUAGUCAAUUAGGCAUUAACGUGCCAUCGCGGGUAAAAUGAGGGUCC
Emys orbicularis (European pond turtle) is the source of this 1066-nucleotide long non-coding RNA. RefSeq lists it as uncharacterized. The transcript is spliced from 6 exons. NCBI's taxonomy places the organism in Eukaryota, Metazoa, Chordata, Testudines, Emydidae. The record is from RefSeq and is a predicted model, not a curated record.